RNAcentral lists this transfer RNA (76 nucleotides) under bacterium. RNAcentral describes it as "tRNA-Glu". It matches the Rfam family "tRNA". From Rfam's summary of the family: Transfer RNA (tRNA) molecules are approximately 80 nucleotides in length. Their secondary structure includes four short double-helical elements and three loops (D, anti-codon, and T loops). The record is from RNAcentral.
GACGAGUUGGAGAAAUGGUCAACUCACAAGCCUUUCACGCUUGCAUUUAUGGGUUCGAAUCCCAUACUCGCCACCA